Molecule: unclassified non-coding RNA, 127 nt
Filed under: Moritella viscosa
Lineage: Bacteria; Pseudomonadati; Pseudomonadota; Gammaproteobacteria; Alteromonadales; Moritellaceae
Description: putative sRNA
Source: RNAcentral
AUCCUGAUGUAAUAAUAAAGCAUGGAAAUAGCAUGAUUUGGAGUAUGAGCAGGUAUGAGAUAUGGUAAAGACAUUAAUUUUUAGGCACAAAAAAACCGUAAAUGACAAACUUAAACUCUGAUUAAAG